AACCUUAUGGACCUGCGGGCGUAUACCUGCGGAAGGAUCAUUACAGAGUUCAUGCCCUCACGGGUAGAUCUCCCACCCUUGCGUAUUUAUACCUUUGUUGCUUUGGCAGGCCGCCUGGGCUCGCGCCUGGCCACCGGCUCCCGGGCUGGUGCGUGCCUGCCAGAGGAUCUCCAAACUCUAGUUAUCAGUGUUGUCUGAGUACUAUACAAUAGUUAAAACUUUCAACAACGGAUCUCAGAU
RNAcentral lists this unclassified non-coding RNA (240 nucleotides) under soil metagenome. Its description in RNAcentral is "partial contains 5.8S ribosomal RNA, internal transcribed spacer 2, and large subunit ribosomal RNA". The record is from RNAcentral.